GAUUGAACGCUGGCGGCAGGCCUAACACAUGCAAGUCGAGCGGUAGCACAGAGAGCUUGCUCUCGGGUGACGAGCGGCGGACGGGUGAGUAAUGUCUGGGAAACUGCCUGAUGGAGGGGGAUAACUACUGGAAACGGUAGCUAAUACCGCAUAACGUCGCAAGACCAAAGUGGGGGACCUUCGGGCCUCAUGCCAUCAGAUGUGCCCAGAUGGGAUUAGCUAGUAGGUGGGGUAACGGCUCACCUAGGCGACGAUCCCUAGCUGGUCUGAGAGGAUGACCAGCCACACUGGAACUGAGACACGGUCCAGACUCCUACGGGAGGCAGCAGUGGGGAAUAUUGCACAAUGGGCGCAAGCCUGAUGCAGCCAUGCCGCGUGUGUGAAGAAGGCCUUCGGGUUGUAAAGCACUUUCAGCGGGGAGGAAGGCGUUAAGGUUAAUAACCUUGGCGAUUGACGUUACCCGCAGAAGAAGCACCGGCUAACUCCGUGCCAGCAGCCGCGGUAAUACGGAGGGUGCAAGCGUUAAUCGGAAUUACUGGGCGUAAAGCGCACGCAGGCGGUCUGUCAAGUCGGAUGUGAAAUCCCCGGGCUCAACCUGGGAACUGCAUUCGAAACUGGCAGGCUAGAGUCUUGUAGAGGGGGGUAGAAUUCCAGGUGUAGCGGUGAAAUGCGUAGAGAUCUGGAGGAAUACCGGUGGCGAAGGCGGCCCCCUGGACAAAGACUGACGCUCAGGUGCGAAAGCGUGGGGAGCAAACAGGAUUAGAUACCCUGGUAGUCCACGCCGUAAACGAUGUCGAUUUGGAGGUUGUGCCCUUGAGGCGUGGCUUCCGGAGCUAACGCGUUAAAUCGACCGCCUGGGGAGUACGGCCGCAAGGUUAAAACUCAAAUGAAUUGACGGGGGCCCGCACAAGCGGUGGAGCAUGUGGUUUAAUUCGAUGCAACGCGAAGAACCUUACCUGGUCUUGACAUCCACAGAACUUUCCAGAGAUGGAUUGGUGCCUUCGGGAACUGUGAGACAGGUGCUGCAUGGCUGUCGUCAGCUCGUGUUGUGAAAUGUUGGGUUAAGUCCCGCAACGAGCGCAACCCUUAUCCUUUGUUGCCAGCGGUUCGGCCGGGAACUCAAAGGAGACUGCCAGUGAUAAACUGGAGGAAGGUGGGGAUGACGUCAAGUCAUCAUGGCCCUUACGACCAGGGCUACACACGUGCUACAAUGGCAUAUACAAAGAGAAGCGACCUCGCGAGAGCAAGCGGACCUCAUAAAGUAUGUCGUAGUCCGGAUUGGAGUCUGCAACUCGACUCCAUGAAGUCGGAAUCGCUAGUAAUCGUAGAUCAGAAUGCUACGGUGAAUACGUUCCCGGGCCUUGUACACACCGCCCGUCACACCACGGGAGUGGGUUGCAAAAGAAGUAGGUAGCUUAACCUUCGGGAGGGCGCUUACCACUUUGUGAUUCAUGACUGGGGUGAAGUCGAACAAGGUAACC
Molecule: ribosomal RNA, 1481 nt
Filed under: uncultured bacterium
Lineage: Bacteria
Description: bacterial SSU rRNA
Rfam family: Bacterial small subunit ribosomal RNA
Source: RNAcentral